UAAUACGAAGGGGGCUAGCGUUGUUCGGAGUUACUGGGCGUAAAGGGCGCGUAGGCGGCCGGUCAAGUCGGGUGUGAAAGCCCGGGGCUCAACCCCGGAUGUGCAUUCGAGACUGAUUGGCUUGAGGACGGGAGAGGAUGGUGGAAUUCCCAGUGUAGAGGUGAAAUUCGUAGAUAUUGGGAAGAACACCGGUGGCGAAGGCGGCCAUCUGGACCGUUUCUGACGCUGAGGCGCGAAAGCGUGGGGAGCAAACAGGAUUAGAUACCCUGGUAGUCCACGCCGUAAACGAUGAGUGCUAGACGUUGGGGAGCCUAGCUCUUCGGUGUCGCAGCUAACGCAUUAAGCACUCCGCCUGGGGAGUACGGCCGCAAGGUUA
This 376-nucleotide ribosomal RNA is filed under the name uncultured bacterium. Its description in RNAcentral is "bacterial SSU rRNA". It matches the Rfam family "Bacterial small subunit ribosomal RNA", at positions 521 to 896 of the family's 1533-position model. The record is from RNAcentral.